CCUACGGGUGGCUGCAGUGGGGGAUAUUGCACAAUGGGGGGAACCCUGAUGCAGCGACGCCGCGUGGGUGAUGAAGCGCCUCGGCGCGUAAAGCCCUGUCAGCAGGGGAGUAAAUGGCGGUACCUGAAGAAGAAGCCCCGGCUAACUACGUGCCAGCAGCGGCGGUACUACGUAGGAUGCGGGCGUUAUCCGGAUUUAUCGGGUUUAACGGGUGCGUAGGCGGGCUUUUAAGUCAGCGGGAAAAAUUCGGGGCUCAACCCCGUCCGGCCGUUGAAACUGGGGGCCUUGAGUGGGCGAGAAGAAGGCGGAAUGCGUGGUGUAGCGGUGAAAUGCAUAGAUAUCACGCAGAACCCCGAUUGCGAAGGCAGCCUUCCGGCGCCCUACUGACGCUGAGGCACGAAAGUGCGGGGAUCGAACAGGAUUAGAUACCCCUGUAGUC
RNAcentral lists this ribosomal RNA (439 nucleotides) under uncultured bacterium. RNAcentral's name for it is "partial 16S ribosomal RNA". It matches the Rfam family "Bacterial small subunit ribosomal RNA", at positions 338 to 795 of the family's 1533-position model. The record is from RNAcentral.